This 839-nucleotide ribosomal RNA is filed under the name Vibrio sp. RNAcentral describes it as "bacterial SSU rRNA". It matches the Rfam family "Bacterial small subunit ribosomal RNA", at positions 56 to 863 of the family's 1533-position model. Lineage: Bacteria; Pseudomonadati; Pseudomonadota; Gammaproteobacteria; Vibrionales; Vibrionaceae. The record is from RNAcentral.
UGCAGUCGAGCGGAACGAGUUAUCUGAACCUUCGGGGAACGAUAACGGCGUCGCGCUUUUGGACGGGUGAGUAAUGCCUAGGAAAUUGCCCUGAUGUGGGGGAUAACCAUUGGAAACGAUGGCUAAUACCGCAUGAUGCCUACGGGCCAAAGAGGGGGACCUUCGGGCCUCUCGCGUCAGGAUAUGCCUAGGUGGGAUUAGCUAGUUGGUGAGGUAAGGGCUCACCAAGGCGACGAUCCCUAGCUGGUCUGAGAGGAUGAUCAGCCACACUGGAACUGAGACACGGUCCAGACUCCUACGGGAGGCAGCAGUGGGGAAUAUUGCACAAUGGGCGCAAGCCUGAUGCAGCCAUGCCGCGUGUAUGAAGAAGGCCUUCGGGUUGUAAAGUACUUUCAGUCGUGAGGAAGGUGGUGUAGUUAAUAGCUGCAUUAUUUGACGUUAGCGACAGAAGAAGCACCGGCUAACUCCGUGCCAGCAGCCGCGGGUAAUACGGGAGGGUGCGGAGCGUUAAUCGGGAAUUACUGGGCCGUAAAGCGCAUGCAGGUGGGUUUGUUAAGUCAGAUGUGAAAGCCCGGGGCUCAACCUCGGAAUAGCAUUUGAAACUGGCAGACUAGAGUACUGUAGAGGGGGGUAGAAUUUCAGGUGUAGCGGUGAAAUGCGUAGAGAUCUGAAGGAAUACCGGUGGCGAAGGCGGCCCCCUGGACAGAUACUGACACUCAGAUGCGAAAGCGUGGGGAGCAAACAGGAUUAGAUACCCCUGGUAGUCCACGCCGUAAACGAUGUCUACUUGGGGGGUUGUGGCCUUUGAGCCGUGGGCUUUUCGGAAGCUAACGCCGUUA